UCAUCAGUACCACAGUUUUUUGAUAAUGGCAAACCACAUAAAUCCAAAUUUCCCAUGUAGGAAUCGUUAGUGAAAGUAUCAAAUUGUUUGCCUUGAGGAACGGGUCCCUUCAGAUUAUUUUGAGAAAGGUUUAACACCUCUAAGAAUCCAAGAUUUUUUAACUCUGUUGGAAUUCUUCCUUCCAGCUUAUUUGAUGAGAGAUCUAAUGAUUCAAGCUCUGACAAAUUACCUAAAGAUGAUGGGAUAGGACCUAUUAAACAGUUAUGGGAGAGAUUUAGGACAAUAAGUAAAUGAAGCUCACCAAGUAUUUUUGGAAUUUCUCCCCUGAAUUGGUUACUAGAAAGGUCAAUAACCGUCCAAAUGGAUAAUAGUGAUUCAAACUGUAUUUCCAGCCCUUUUGCUGUAACAGAUAAACCAGAAGCAUAAUCCACCCAAAAUGAACCAAUUGCAUCUUUCGUGAUCUUUACUUCUCUCAUGUAAUUUGGUUCAACUUUCUUUCCAUACUCAUCUCUAAUGGCAUGCAUAUGCUCAAAAAAAAGGGUAGGUAAGUAGCCACUAAAAUUAUUGUGAGAAAGAUCAAUGAUUCGCAAUUUAGUUAAAGAAACUGUAGUAUCAAAGCUCUCUAUUUGGCCGUAAAGUCUAUUCGAUCUCAAGAUAAGAACUUGCAGCUGAUCCAAAUUUCCUAACCAACUUGGGAAAGUGUCAUUCAAAUUGUUGUUUCCAACAUUGAGAAGAUUUAAAGCUUUGCAAUUACCCAAAGAUCGUGGUAGUGACCCUUCUAAUUCAUUGUUGUUGAUGCGUAAACUUCUCAACAUGCAACCUUUAGCAAAAUUUUCUGGUAUUUGACCAUGAAAAUUAUUAUUCCUUAGAUCAACUGCUGUGAGAGAAGAACUCAAGUUUCCGAUGCACUUUGGAAUUGUUCCCUCCAAAAUUUUCCCAUCUAAAGAAAUACUCAUAAGGGAAGUCAAAUUGCAUAUUGAAGAAGGGAUUUCUCCAAUUAAGUUAUUAGUUGAAACUCCAUACAAUUGCAAUAAAGGUGGUGGUGUUGGAAUUCGACCUUAGAGAUAAAAUUGAAAAUGAGAUAGAAUUAGGAGUUUGAAGAUUCUUUGGAAUAUAAAUUAUAAAAUAACUAUAUUUGUGAUGAUGUGUACACUCAAUACAAAUAAUGCAUCACAACAACUUUUAAGUUGUAAUCUAUUGAAGGAAACUACUACUAUCUUCUAGAGAGAAAUUUUUAUUUCCCUUACUUAAAAGUAAAAAGGGAUUGCAUAAAUGUAUAAAAAAUAGAAGGAAAAAAAAAUCAAACUAUACUUAAUAGUUUAUUAUAAAAGAGAUAACCAUUUAAUAUCUUACUUAUAUUUCAUUUUUUAGUGUUUAUUAUUAUUUUUUGUACUUUUAUGUAUAUUUUAUAAUUUAUUAUUGGGGUUCACGGUUGUUAUUGUCAAGAAUAUCAUCUCUAAGACUUGAAUCUUGUUCUCCCCUUAAGAGAAUAAUAUGUUUUACCACUGCACCGAAUAUUUAUUGGUGUAGUAUUUAUUAUAACUACAAAUAAUUUUAAUUAUCUUUUUAUGAAACUCUAAGUUAGAGGUCAAAUAAAAAAACAAAUUAAUUGAUAUAGUGUUUAAAUUUUUAUCAUUAUAUGUAAAGUUUUAAUUAUUAGUUAUAAUUUUUUUCCUCACAAUUGAAAUUUAAAAACGAUAUUUUAUGAAAUUUAAAGAUAACAUAAUUAAUAGAAAAUUGACAUUUUCUUUAGAGUCGGAAUCUAAGUAGUAGCAAUAUCUGUAACUGGUACUUCAAAUGUACAUUUUAUGUUUAUAAUUUUUAUAAGAUUGGGAGUUAAUUGAGAUUGUAGCCUCAAAAUUGGUGUUAAUAAGAAUGUAAAAGAUGAUGAUUUAAAAAUGGCUUACAAGAAGCUUUUUCGUUGUCCUUUUAUUUUAUUUUAUUUGAUAAUUAUUUGCUAGGUGAUGGGAAAAAUUGGGUUCCUUUGUUGAAAAUCCUAUAAAAACCACAAAGUUACUAAGUAAUGGGGGUUUUGAGUUUUUGUGUAACAACCCGAUUUUGGGCUUAGUCGGAACAGUGGUUUUGGGACCACAAAUCUGACGAGGAAAAAUUUAUUCUUAUUAUGUCUUUAUGGUCUACAAUUUCACAGAAUAAUAUCGUGAAAAUUUCGUUCGAAAAUUUUGACGUUUGAGCACUCGAUUUAGUAAAAAGGACUAAAUUGUAAAAAGUGAAAAAAUUGAGUUCUACAUGUUAGAAGUGUCCAAUUGUUAUGAAAUUUUAAAUUAGAGAUCCUUAUUUGGUAAUUAGACUAUUGGUUAAGUUGGUGGACAAAAAUGGACAUGGUUAGGCAUGUUUCCAAAGUUUUUCAUUAAUGGCGUUUUAGUCAUUUUUUUAAUUAAAAUGAAUUAAAAACAAAAUUAAAAGCCAAUUUUUGUCCAUCUUCAAGCUAGGGGCCGAAAUUUUCAUGGAGAAACCAUGGAUAUGGUUUUUCAAGCUUCCAAGCUCGAUUGUAAGUCCGUUCUAGCCCCAUUUUUAAUGCUUUUCACGUUUUUGAAAUCCUUGUAACAUGAUUUAUUUAUUUCUACCAUUUAUUUGAGAUAUGAUGAAGGUCUAGAUUUUGACCCAUGUUAUAAAUUUGUGUAUUUUGAUGGUUAAUGGUAGAUUUUGACCCAUUUAUUUGUGUAUUUUCGGUGAAAAUGCAUAAAAGGACUAGUUUGUAAAAAGAUUGUAAAAUGUGUGUAAGUGUGUGAAUAAGUGAAAAUUGUGGAAUGCUAUAGUUAUGAAAAUGGUUCAGCUAGGCCUAAAAUGCAAAGAAAUUGAAUAAAAUUAUUUUACAAGCCUAAGGGUAAAAUCAUAAUUUUGUGAAACUUUAGGGGAAAAGAUGUAAUUUUUCCAAAGUGUGAUUUUUGGACUAAAUUGAAUAAUUUGAGUGUUAAAUAAGGUAAAUGUGUUAUUAUAAAUUAAGAAAGACGAGAAAUUGACUUUGAUCAGUGAAAAAAAGUGAAAUUAUGAAAGAGUAUAUUUAGCAACAAAAUAGUUUAGAUAGAAAUAGUUGUGUGAUAUUGAAAAAUCACCAAAAAUCGUGUAAAUUGAAUUAGAGGCUGAAUAAUAUAUUAAAUUAAAGCUAAAUGAGUCUAUUUUCACAUAAAAGAGACAGAGCAAGCAAAAGAGUUUUAUAUUAUGAGAUAUUUUAAUUUUAGUGAGAUAGGGCCAGAAUGAUUUCGAAAUUCCCUCUUUUGAAUUUGGAAAAUCAUUAAAAAUUUUACAAAAAUAAUUAGGAGCUAAACUUUAUAUUUUUAGAAUCUUGAAUGAGUAUAGUUUCAAAAUAAACAAACAGGAACAUUAUCCAAAUUCUAUACAAUGAGAUAAUUAAUUUUUAGUGAAGAGGGGUCAGAACUGUCGAGCAUUGAAAUAGGAGAAAAUUUAAAGAAUAAAAUGUACUUAUUGGAUAAGAAAAAAAUAAUGAAAAUUUUAUGGUAAGAAUAUAUAUGAGUCUAGUUUCAGGUAAAAUGAAAGGAUCUUAAUUUGGAGCUCUGUAGCUCGAGAUAUAAAUAAAUUAGUGACUUUGACUCAGACAGACAGCUUGAAUUUACAUACAGGAAAAUAGUGAAAGAAUGGAUAAUGUUGUUUAAAUGUGUUAUACACAUUAAGGAUGUGGAAUGGAGAGGAGGAGGAGGAAAACUGGAAAAAUAUAGGAACGAUUCAUGUAUAAUUGGUCAUAUGCUCGAUUAUAAUUGAUAAAUGAUGAAAUAGAAAUGAUGCUUAUAUUUGUGCAUUAUUGGUCAUGGUUUAAGUUCAUGUGGGAAAAUAAGUUUCAUAGUAUGUGUGUAUGGUAUAUUGGGUAUAUGAUUUUGCAUGAAGUAAUGUCAUGAAUGGUUUAUGAAUUAACACAUGUCGGUAAGUUACGUGUAAAUAAUAGCAAUAUAUUUUUAUAAAUUGUGAAUUAUAUUUGGUAUGUGAAUUAAUAUUGAAUGUGGAAGGAAAAUUGUUCAUGAAUUAUUCAAGUGAUAAAGUGCUUAAAAUAAAGUGUUAAGUGCAAAUUCCUGGUUGAACUUAGGAAUAGAAGUGGAUACAAGUGACAUGUCACUAGAGACUAGUGUUAUAGUGUUACAGUGAGUCCCGGUUGCUGGGUGAUCUAGCAUGUGUUGCAGAUACCUGACAGCUUGUAUGAGCAGGCCCGUGGACAUUUUCAGUGUUAUUGAUUAGUGGUAACUUCGGCUACAUUUCAAUGGUAGCUACAGCUACAUAUCAGUGGUAGCUUCGGCUACAUUUUAGUGGUAUCUACGUCUACAUAUCAGUGGUAGCUUCGGCUACAUAUUAGUGUGACACUUAUGUGCUAAUUCUCUACUUAUUCGUGUAUAUUCCGAAUGUUCAAUGGGAUUAAUAAUGAGUUAAAAUGAAUAUGAAAUGUGGUGUACAUGCUUAGGCUUUGGUCAAGUUGUGGCUCAAUUAUGCCACGUUAAACUUAUAUUUAUGCAUUGUAUUGAUACGUUUAUGUUUUGUGUAAUAUGCAUAGGAACGGGUGUGGAAAGGUAAUGAAUUAAUAAGUUCAUACUUGAAGGGUAAAAUGACGAAAAAGGGGAUGAUGAGUUGAAUUGAUGUUGCUAUUUAAGCUAGAGUGAUAUUUUUAUUGGAAAAUUGAGAAUUUCAUAAAUGUGUUAAUGAAUGAUAUAAUCGAUAUACGUUGAGUUAAAUGUUAAAUACGUAUUAGUAUUGAACUUAAUAACAUUGAAUUGUACGUGAAUUAAAUGGAAAUUGCUAGUGAUAUGAUUUAAAUUGUGAGCAUGAGAAAUUGUGAAUUGAAUGAAAUGGAAAUGAAGCAUUGAAUUGCAUGAGUAUGUAUCGGGUCUCGUAGGUCCUAUUUAUUAUGAUUAUAAUAUUUUGAGGAUAUAUUGUGAAGAGUUAUAAAAACAUGUUAAUAAUUUUAAAAGUUUUAAUUUAGAUGAAAUUUUAUAACUCGGUUAAAUACAUUUACAAGUGUAUGUGUUCUGGUAAUGCCUCGUACCCUAUUUCGGUGUUGGAUACGGGUAAGGGGUGUUACAUUUUGGGUUUAUCAAAAUAACACUCACAUAUAAGUUUAUCAGCAUUUAGUUAUAUGUGUUUAAAUAUAAUCAUUUUUUAUAUUUAAUUAUAUGUGUUUGAAAAUAAAGUUAAUAGAAUUUUUAAAUAUGGAGGGUGAAAUCUAUUGAAUUAUUUAGAAUAAGAAUUAAAUUAAUAGAAUGUGUAAGUAUUAAGAAAUAACCGUGUUAUUAUGCCAGUUGGAAAAGGCAACAUCAUCACUUAAUCGUUAACUAUUUAAAGGAGAGUGAUCAAAAUAGAAACAAUCUAAAGUGUGAGUGACCAAAAUAGAAAUAAUAUAAAUGUAAGUGACUAAAUUAAAAAUAUUCAUAGUUGGGUGACUAAUUCUAUAGUUACCCUAGAUGGUAGAAGCAAUUAGGAUUAAUUCCACCAAACAUCUCAAACUAUUACUCAUAUUUUAAAUUGAACCCUAAACUUGUACACAUUCUAAUUAAAUUACUCAAAUAGAAUGUGAUAAUGUGUUAUGCUAUUAUUCAUCGAUAGUGCAUAGAACUUAUGUACCAACAAUGCAUCAAAUAUUCUCAUUAAAAGAAAAUGUAUAAAAUAAGUUUUAUACCAUCUAUAAUUUGUAAAAAAAUAUGUAUUGAAUAAAAAAUAUAAAAAUACAUAUCUAUAAUUCCACAAAAAGAAUUACAUAUCUAUAAUAUCUUUUUAUAAAUUCAAUUCCAAAUCUCCUGUACUAAAUCAACCUCACAAAUCUGAUUGAGGUUAAAAAGAAAGAAUGCAUGUAUUUUGCAAUUAAAACCAUGAUCCAUAUUCAAUUCUAAACUAUUGAACAUAUAAUUUUGCAUUAUUUUACCUCCCUUGAUUCUUCACAAACUCUUUGGAAUAAAUUAACCAUCUAUUCCUUAUUUCAAUUUUAUUAAAAAGAUAGGUUCCCAUAAAGACGGUCUUUACAAACCAGUGCACCUCUCAUAAACACAUCAGGGAACAUUGCCAUGAGAGAGGACCUAAGAAAACAUAAUACAAAGCACCCACACAAAAUGUUUAUUAAACAGCUACUGAAAAAGGCCUGCAUACCACCAAGCAAUGAAGUUUUCUGUUCUGUUUGCAACUUGUUGAACUCGCCCAAGUGUUGGCUUCUCUACCUUUUUGCAAAUCUAUGUUGGACUCGCUCCACGAUCCAAAUCAACCACCCUGGUUUUCCAGUCGUGAAUACAAUGUAUGCCAUGCUCAUUCCCAGCACCAACGCACAUCCAUACCCCAUCAAUAUUGAAAAUUUCCAAUUCAAUUCAUCACCAUCAUCAUCUCUAUCAAAUAUGGCUGGGGUUUCCUCAUCAGUACCACAGUUUUUUGAUAAUGGCAAGCCACAUAAAUCCAAAUUUCCCAUGUAGGAAUCGUUAGUGAAAGUAUCAAAUUGUUUGCCUUGAGGAAUGGGUCCCUUUAGAUUAUUUUGAGAAAGGUUUAACACCUCUAAGAAUCCAAGAUUUUUCAACUCUGUUGGAAUUCUUCCUUCCAGCUUAUUUGAUGAGAGAUCUAAUGAUUCAAGCUCUGACAAAUUACCUAAAGAUGAUGGGAUAGGACCCAUUAAACAGUUAUGGGAGAGAUUUAGGACAAUAAGUAAAUGAAGCUCACCAAGUAUUUUUGGAAUUUCUCCCCUGAAUUGGUUACUAGAAAG
Molecule: long non-coding RNA, 6697 nt
Filed under: Gossypium raimondii (Peruvian cotton)
Lineage: Eukaryota; Viridiplantae; Streptophyta; Magnoliopsida; Malvales; Malvaceae
Description: long non-coding RNA (GRAI_LNC005905)
Source: RNAcentral